AUUGAACGCUGGCGGCAUGCCUUACACAUGCAAGUCGAACGGUAACAGGUCUUCGGAUGCUGACGAGUGGCGAACGGGUGAGUAAUACAUCGGAACGUGCCCGAUCGUGGGGGAUAACGAAGCGAAAGCUUUGCUAAUACCGCAUAGGAUCUAAGGAUGAAAGCAGGGGACCGCAAGGCCUUGCGCGAGCGGAGCGGCCGAUGGCAGAUUAGGUAGUUGGUGGGAUAAAAGCUUACCAAGCCGACGAUCUGUAGCUGGUCUGAGAGGACGACCAGCCACACUGGGACUGAGACACGGCCCAGACUCCUACGGGAGGCAGCAGUGGGGAAUUUUGGACAAUGGGCGAAAGCCUGAUCCAGCCAUGCCGCGUGCAGGAUGAAGGCCUUCGGGUUGUAAACUGCUUUUGUACGGAACGAAAAGACUCUUUCUAAUAAAGAGGGUCCAUGACGGUACCGUAAGAAUAAGCACCGGCUAACUACGUGCCAGCCGCCGCCGUAA
This 498-nucleotide ribosomal RNA is filed under the name uncultured bacterium. RNAcentral's name for it is "partial 16S ribosomal RNA". It matches the Rfam family "Bacterial small subunit ribosomal RNA", at positions 30 to 523 of the family's 1533-position model. The record is from RNAcentral.